GACUACUAGGGUAUCUAAGCCCGUUCGCUCCCCUAGCUUUCGCCUCUCAGCGUCAGGUGCAGGCCAGAGAGCCGCUUUCGCCACUGGUGUUCCUCCUAGUAUCUGAGCAUUCCACCGCUACACUAGGAAUUCCGCUCCCCUCUCCUGUCCUCAAGUGACCUAGUUUUGGACGACCUUUUUCGGUUGAGCCGAAAUCUGUCACGCCCAACUUUGGCCACCGCCUACUUGCCCUUUACGCCCAGUAAAUCCGGAUAACGCUCGCCUCCUACGUUUUACCGCGGCUGCUGGCACGUAGUUAGCCGAGACUUGUUCCUGAAGUACCGUCCUUGCUCAUCCUUCAGAAAAGAGUUUUACGACCCGAAGGCCUUCGUCACUCACGCGGCGUUGCUGCAUCUGGCUUUCGCCCAUUGUGCAAUAUUCCUCACUGCUGCCCCCCGUAGG
RNAcentral lists this ribosomal RNA (441 nucleotides) under uncultured bacterium. RNAcentral's name for it is "partial 16S ribosomal RNA". The record is from RNAcentral.